Long non-coding RNA from Magnolia sinica, 1275 nucleotides. RefSeq lists it as uncharacterized. The transcript is spliced from 2 exons. The record is from RefSeq and is a predicted model, not a curated record. NCBI's taxonomy places the organism in Eukaryota, Viridiplantae, Streptophyta, Magnoliopsida, Magnoliales, Magnoliaceae.
UUCCAUUCUGUUAUUUCUGUGUCCUUUUCUACCUCUGGAAAUUGAACUUUUGGAGCUUUUGGAUGUGUUUGAUGUCGAAGAGGUUUUUGCUGAAGAUGCUGUUGAAAAUGCUUCACUCAUCUGACUCCUGCUACUGACUGAACUUGGGAAAUCAUGUUAGAGAUGGUAUAUUCACAAAUCACAACACUGUAUAUAGCAAGCACUAAAUUGAUUUGACAAUGAAGUCUUGAUAGAAUCACAGUAGAGGAAGUGAUUGUAGCUAGAAUGGGUCCAGAAACAGGAGCAGGAGUGACACCUCAGCUAGAAGAUUCCUGUUCUGAGGUGUGGUUCUCUUGGAAGCAGAAGAUAUUGGAGAGAAAUCUUCUCAUUGUUCUGUCAUCGUUAGGAAAAUUUCAUACAAAUUGUCAAAGCACCUGUAUUCCAAGAUGUUUUAAAUUUGCCAUACACAGGCCUCUCAGCGAUUAUUAUCUGCUGUUCUUAAAGAGCAAGAUUCAAUCAGGCCUAAAUUUUGAUAAGGGUAAAUUGUCUUUACAUUCACAUAAUUCCAAGUUCUCAUCGUUCUUUUCCUCUCUCCUUUUUUGCAUGGUGGAGAGACAAUUUGUCAAUUGUUUUCUCUAACUUUUUUGGGGAAUUUUGAUGAUAUUGCUAAUUGUUCCUCUUGUUGUUCUUUUCCUAUCAUGCUCUGUAUGGAUUGAAAGAUCUCCCAUUGGUGUGAUUUUUACCAAGUGUUCCAUCCACACUGUGAGCUACUUAAUUGAAUGGUCUGCGUCCCAGGUGGUGAAACACAAGAGGUGAACAACAAGGGGAGCGACAAGGGCAAGCAAUCUAGCCAACCUCUUGUUUGAAACUUGUUGGGUGUUAUGACUAAAUCCCACUUUGAUUGUGAUGAUGGAUGACUUACUCCUAGGAGAGAGUUCCAAGCUGAAAAGAUCAUCUUCUGGUGUCCCUGGUCUCAUUGCAUCAUCUGUUGUCUUUGGUGAUGUCUCAUCAUCAGGCGUCCCUGGUAUCAUCUCAUCAUAUGUCACAGAACUGUUCCGGCUUCGAACUGUGUGCAUAUUGUUGGUGUCUCUGUCUCUUGGGCCCCUCAACUCUUCAACACUGUCAUCACGCUUCAUCCUUGAAAUUCCACAUGAUAGCUUUUCCAGGAAAUAUUUCUUAUCUUUCUUCAUCUGUCUGCAACACUGUUCGAGUUAGGAAAGAAACUAUAGAAAGAUGAUUGUAUGCCCUUGUAAAGCACUAAUAUUUCUGGAAUAAAACUAUCAAAUUGCCAAUGCU